AUGUGGAGAGGCGGCGCCACUGCCGCCUCCGCCGCGAGGGCUCUCCGCUCGCGCAUGCUCGGCGACCCCAUCCACCACCCCUCCACGGCUAUUCUUCCCAUCCCUUCGGCGCGCGCCGCCUGCUCGGCACCCUCCGCCGUCUCCCCUGCGCCCAUCGUCGCUGAAGCGGCGGCCGCCUCGGUAGCUGUUUCGUCGGGAGCCAGAUCCGCCUCCGACGUGCUGCGGCACUACGGGUCGUGCUACUGGGAGCUCUCCAAAGCCCGCCUCAGUGCACUUGUUGUGGCAACAUCGGGGGCUGGAUAUGUGCUCGGUAGUGGCAGCAUUGUAGACAUUGCUGGACUUUGCUACACAUGCACUGGUACCAUGAUGGUUGCAGCAUCGGCCAACACUCUCAACCAGGUGUUUGAAAUAAAGAAUGAUGCUAAAAUGAAAAGGACAAUGCGACGGCCCCUACCAUCAGGGCGUAUUAGUCCUGUGCAUGCUGCCAUGUGGGCUACAACUGUUGGAACUGCAGGAACAGCAUUAUUGGCUUGCAAGGCUAAUGACUUAGCUGCUGGGCUUGCAGCAUCCAAUCUCAUUCUGUAUGCAUUUGUAUACACUCCACUGAAGCAAAUACACCCUGUCAAUACAUGGGUGGGAGCAGUUGUUGGCGCCAUUCCGCCACUUCUAGGGUGGGCAGCUGCAGCAUCUGAAGUGUCAGUCAACUCUAUGAUUCUGCCUGCAGCUUUGUACUUUUGGCAGUUACCACAUUUCAUGGCCCUUGCGUACUUAUGCCGUGACGACUACCUUGCUGGAGGGUACCGAAUGCUCUCCUUUGCUGAUCCUACUGGUAAGAGAACUGCAUGGGUUUCACUCAGAAAUUGUCUCUACAUGCUGCCGUUGGGAUUAUUUGCAUAUAACUGGGGUCUUACAUCCGAAUGGUUCAGUUUCGAAGCAUCGCUUCUGACGACGGGCCUCGCCAUCGGAGCCUUAUCAUUUGUACUGGCUCCUAGUCAGAAGAGUGCAAGAAGAAUGUUCCAUGGCAGCCUUUUGUAUCUUCCUGCUUUGAUGGCUGGACUUAUACUGCAUCGGCUGCCUAACGAUCAGAAGGAGCAUAACAACAUCCAUCAGACUAGUGAGAUCGCCGGGGUUCUCCGCGGCGCCGAGCUGUGGGACGAAGAAAGAGCUAGACAGAAACAGGAAGACCUGAAACAUUCUCGUCGUGCUCAAUCACGCCCUCCAGUUGCCUAUGCUUCUGUAGCCCCAUUCCCCUUCUUGCCUGUACCUGUGUACGUCUCUCCAGAAGCUCAUGAGCUAUGA
This 1299-nucleotide ribosomal RNA is filed under the name Triticum aestivum (bread wheat). Its description in RNAcentral is "partial small subunit ribosomal RNA". The record is from RNAcentral. Lineage: Eukaryota; Viridiplantae; Streptophyta; Magnoliopsida; Poales; Poaceae.